GGAAUCUUGCGCAAUGGGCGAAAGCCUGACGCAGCGACGCCGCGUGUGGGAUGACGGCCUUCGGGUUGUAAACCACUGUCGGGAGGGACGAAGAUCUGACGGUACCUCCAAAGGAAGCACCGGCAAACUCUGUGCCAGCAGCCGCGGUAAUACAGAGGGUGCGAGCGUUGUCCGGAAUCACUGGGCGUAAAGGGCGCGUAGGCGGCUUGGUAAGUAGGGGGUGAAAUUCCGUGGCUCAACCGCGGGACUGCCUCCUAAACGGCGAAGCUUGAGCACGGUAGAGGCUGGUGGAAUUCCCGGUGUAGCGGUGGAAUGCGUAGAGAUCGGGAGGAACAUCGGUGGCGAAGGCGGCCAGCUGGGCCGUUGCUGACGCUGAGGCGCGAAAGCGUGGGGAGCAAAC
RNAcentral lists this ribosomal RNA (400 nucleotides) under uncultured bacterium. Its description in RNAcentral is "bacterial SSU rRNA". It matches the Rfam family "Bacterial small subunit ribosomal RNA", at positions 358 to 773 of the family's 1533-position model. The record is from RNAcentral.